RNAcentral lists this ribosomal RNA (860 nucleotides) under Southwellina hispida. RNAcentral's name for it is "SSU rRNA". It matches the Rfam family "Eukaryotic small subunit ribosomal RNA", at positions 425 to 1293 of the family's 1831-position model. The record is from RNAcentral. Lineage: Eukaryota; Metazoa; Acanthocephala; Palaeacanthocephala; Polymorphida; Polymorphidae.
GCAGCAGGCGCGCAAAUUACCCAAUCCCCGAUCGGGGAGGUAGUGACGAGAAAUAGCGAUGCCGCGAUCUUUUGAUCCGGCAGUUGAAAUGAGAACAAUGAAAGAAUUUUAUCGAGAAUCUAUUGGAGGGCAAGUUCUGGUGCCAGCAGCCGCGGUAAUUCCAGCUCGAAGAGCGUAUGUCAAAGUUGCUGCGGUUAAAACGCUCGUCGUUGGACAUCAGUGUGCGUGUCGCGGACAACCGAGUGUUGAUACCGCGUCCACGCACCUAAUAAUAUGCUUGACAACCGUUGAUGCACUUCGGUGUGUGUCACGGUGAAGGGCCACUGUCACUUUGAGAAAUUCAGUGUGCUCAACGCAGGCUUUACGCUUGAAUAAUGCUGCAUGGGAUGACGAAAUAAGGCCUUGGCUCCGUUUCGUUGGUUUACGAAAGCAAAGGUCAUGAUUAAUCGGGACAGACGGGGGCAUUCGUAUUGCGGUGCUAGAAGUGAAAUUCUGUGACCAUCGCAAGACGAACAACUGCGAAAGCAUUUGCCAAGAAUGUUUUCGUUAAUCAAGAACGAAAGUUAGAGGAUCGAAGACGAUUAGAUACCGUCCUAGUUCUAACUGUAAACUAUGCCAACUGGGCAUUCGCCAACGCUUUAUCUUGGCGAGCACCCUCCGGGAAACCAAAGUUAUUUGGUUCCGGGGAGAGUAUGGUUGCAAAAUCGAAACUUAAAGGAAUUGACGGAGGGGCACACCAGAAGUGGAGCCUGCGGCUCAAUUUGACUCAACGCACGAAAGCUUACUCGGUCCGAACACUGCGAGGAUUGACAGGUUGAAAGCUCUUUCUUGAUUCAGUGGGUAGCGGUGCAUGGCCGUUC